AGCCCGCUCAGGUGUGCCAGCCGCCGCGGUAAUACGUAGGUGGCAAGCGUUAUCCGGAUUUAUUGGGCGUAAAGGGAACGCAGGCGGUCUUUUAAGUCUGAUGUGAAAGCCUUCGGCUUAACCGGAGUAGUGCAUUGGAAACUGGGAGACUUGAGUGCAGAAGAGGAGAGUGGAACUCCAUGUGUAGCGGUGAAAUGCGUAGAUAUAUGGAAGAACACCAGUGGCGAAAGCGGCUCUCUGGUCUGUAACUGACGCUGAGGUCCGAAAGCGUGGGUAGCAAACAGG
Molecule: ribosomal RNA, 285 nt
Filed under: uncultured bacterium
Lineage: Bacteria
Description: partial 16S ribosomal RNA
Rfam family: Bacterial small subunit ribosomal RNA
Source: RNAcentral